CAGUAGCCGCGGUAAUACGAAGGGUGCAAGCGUUAAUCGGAAUUACUGGGCGUAAAGCGUGCGUAGGCGGUUUGUUAAGUCUGUUGUGAAAUCCCCGGGCUCAGCCUGGGAAUGGCAAUGGAUACUGGCAAGCUAGAGUGUGUCAGAGGAUGGUGGAAUUCCCGGUGUAGCGGUGAAAUGCGUAGAGAUCGGGAGGAACAUCAGUGGCGAAGGCGGCCAUCUGGGACAACACUGACGCUGAGGCACGAAAGCGUGGGGAGCAAACAGGAUUAGAUACCCCCGUAGUCCCUGUCUCUUAUAC
RNAcentral lists this ribosomal RNA (301 nucleotides) under uncultured bacterium. RNAcentral describes it as "partial 16S ribosomal RNA". It matches the Rfam family "Bacterial small subunit ribosomal RNA", at positions 509 to 807 of the family's 1533-position model. The record is from RNAcentral.